UCUAGCCGCCCGAAACACCCGC
Molecule: microRNA, 22 nt
Filed under: Oryctolagus cuniculus (rabbit)
Lineage: Eukaryota; Metazoa; Chordata; Mammalia; Lagomorpha; Leporidae
Description: ocu-miR-12092-3p
Source: miRBase by way of RNAcentral